This is a non-coding RNA of Clostridiales bacterium, 85 nucleotides long. The record is from Rfam. Lineage: Bacteria; Bacillati; Bacillota; Clostridia; Eubacteriales.
GAACGCCGUGUGCGGUGAAAGCCGCACGCACGGUGUGGAGCGGGGGAAAAUCCUGAGAUAAUUUCAAGGGAUUACCUAUCGCUAU